GUGAGGAAUAUUGGUCAAUGGGCGGGAGCCUGAACCAGCCAAGUCGCGUGAAGGAAGAAGGAUCUAUGGUUCGUAAACUUCUUUUGUAGGGGAAUAAAGUGCAGGACGUGUCCUGUUUUGUAUGUACCCUGAGAAUAAGGAUCGGCUAACUCCGUGCCAGCAGCCGCGGUAAUACGGAGGAUCCGAGCGUUAUCCGGAUUUAUUGGGUUUAAAGGGUGCGUAGGUGGUUUGAUAAGUCAGCGGUGAAAGUUUGCAGCUUAACUGUAAAAAUGCCGUUGAAACUGUCGGACUUGAGUGUAAAUGAGGUAGGCGGAAUGCGUGGUGUAGCGGUGAAAUGCAUAGAUAUCACGCAGAACUCCGAUUGCGAAGGCAGCUUACUAAGCUACAACUGACACUGAAGCACGAAAGCGUGGGGAUCAAACAGGAUUAGAUACCCCGGUAGUCC
This 445-nucleotide ribosomal RNA is filed under the name uncultured bacterium. RNAcentral's name for it is "partial 16S ribosomal RNA". It matches the Rfam family "Bacterial small subunit ribosomal RNA", at positions 354 to 796 of the family's 1533-position model. The record is from RNAcentral.